AUACGGAGGGGGUUAGCGUUGUUCGGAAUUACUGGGCGUAAAGCGUACGUAGGCGGAUCGGAAAGUAUGGGGUGAAAUCCCAGGGCUCAACCCUGGAACUGCCUCAUAAACUCCUGGUCUUGAGUUCGAGAGAGGUGAGUGGAAUUCCGAGUGUAGAGGUGAAAUUCGUAGAUAUUCGGAGGAACACCAGUGGCGAAGGCGGCUCACUGGCUCGAUACUGACGCUGAGGUACGAAAGUGUGGGGAGCAAACAGGAUUAGAAACCCUAGUAGUCC
This 274-nucleotide ribosomal RNA is filed under the name uncultured bacterium. RNAcentral's name for it is "partial 16S ribosomal RNA". It matches the Rfam family "Bacterial small subunit ribosomal RNA", at positions 523 to 796 of the family's 1533-position model. The record is from RNAcentral.